Molecule: transfer RNA, 72 nt
Filed under: Heliconius melpomene (postman butterfly)
Lineage: Eukaryota; Metazoa; Arthropoda; Insecta; Lepidoptera; Nymphalidae
Description: tRNA HMEL003298
Source: RNAcentral
GCCAUCAUGGCGCAGUGGUAUUGUAUUUGACUGUAAACGCAGUGCUUGUGGGUUCGAUUCCCACUCAUAGUU